UGGGGAAUAUUGCACAAUGGGGGAAACCCUGAUGCAGCGACGCCGCGUGAGCGAUGAAGGCUUUCGAGUCGUAAAGCUCUGUCCUAUGAGAAGAUAAUGACGGUAUCAUAGGAGGAAGCCCUGGCUAAAUACGUGCCAGCAGCCGCGGUAAUACGUAUGGGGCGAGCGUUGUCCGGAAUUAUUGGGCGUAAAGGGUACGUAGGUGGUUUUUUAAGUCAGGUGUCAAAGCGUGGAGCUUAACUCCAUUAAGCACUUGAAACUGAAAGACUUGAGUGAAGGAGAGGAAAGUGGAAUUCCUAGUGUAGCGGUGAAAUGCGUAGAUAUUAGGAGGAAUACCGGUGGCGAAGGCGACUUUCUGGACUUUUACUGACGCUCAGGUACGAAAGCGUGGGGAGCAAACAGG
This 403-nucleotide ribosomal RNA is filed under the name Verrucomicrobiota bacterium. RNAcentral's name for it is "Verrucomicrobia bacterium partial 16S ribosomal RNA". It matches the Rfam family "Bacterial small subunit ribosomal RNA", at positions 355 to 776 of the family's 1533-position model. The record is from RNAcentral. Lineage: Bacteria; Pseudomonadati; Verrucomicrobiota.